Molecule: non-coding RNA, 82 nt
Organism: Echinostoma caproni
Lineage: Eukaryota; Metazoa; Platyhelminthes; Trematoda; Plagiorchiida; Echinostomatidae
Source: Rfam
GGCCUCGUAACUCAGCUGGUAGGGCGUGCGCGUACAAAGCGUAGGCAGCGUCCAUGCGUGGGUUCGAAUCCCACCGAAGCUA